GGAUUGUGGCUCAGUAGUAGAGCACUUGCCUCACAUGGGUGAGGCACUGGGUUCAAUCCUCAGCACCA
Molecule: transfer RNA, 68 nt
Filed under: Marmota monax (woodchuck)
Lineage: Eukaryota; Metazoa; Chordata; Mammalia; Rodentia; Sciuridae
Description: tRNA.Val
Source: RNAcentral